Molecule: long non-coding RNA, 1072 nt
Organism: Pseudopipra pipra
Lineage: Eukaryota; Metazoa; Chordata; Aves; Passeriformes; Pipridae
Exons: 2
Source: RefSeq, a predicted model, not a curated record
GCCCCCACAGAGCCCCUGCCUCGGCCCCGGGCCGGGGACGGGCCCCGGCGCUGCCCGGGAGGGGCGGUGCGGGGCCGGGGCCGGGGCAGCGGCUGCUCGGGGGGUCCGGAGCGCCCGUCGGGCCCUGGCUGGGCGGCCUCUGCGGCGCUGCCAGGGAAGAGCAAGAAUAUUUUAAUUUGUAUAUUUUCCAGGGAUUUUUUUGCCUGUUUCCAGCACCCAAGGCUUUAGUUCUAUAGCAAAAUUACUGCUCUUGUUGCCAGGACAAAUGGUUGGAAAUGGGUCGUUUCCCCUCAGCUAUCAAAGGCCUCUCCAGAUCCUCCUUCUUCCUCUCUGUGCAUGUGGGCAUCGAGCUUGUUAUGGAGCAAAAGCAAAAUGUGUGACUCAUACAGACAUGACCAUCUAUAAAGAUGAGGAGAAAUAUUAAUACAUAUGUAAAAAAUUAAAGGUGUACACCCUGGCUGUUUUAUACAUAAAGAUUAAUCUCCCAAUAUUAUAUUGUGAUACUAUAGUUUGGGACUAUUUUCAUUGAAAUGUGGAGGUUCUUUUUAAAGUUCAAAACUUGUUGUCAUCUCUAUUUAUCUUCAAGACUUCCAGACACUUUAAACUACAGUUUAAAUUUAAAGUGACUAUUUUUAUUCAUAUGCUGACAUAAUUUCCCUUGGAAUGAUUUAUAUUUCAAUAAUAGCUUAAAUUAUGUUUUGCAUUCUGUGCUUUGAUGUCAUGCAGGAGGUGUCAUCACAAGAUAAACUUUCACAUCUGAGAGUCAAUAAAUUGUGCUUAGGUAGUCUAAUGAAAAUAUUGUGAAUGGCUAUAUGGAGUUAUAUGCAGUACAGCCAAGCAGCACAGAUACAUGUAGAUAUUUAACAAAGGGCUGUGUUUGAUCUCACGAUGUCAUUGGCUUUGACACCAUGGCACAGUACCAGUUUACAGUGAUACGAAUCCUAUAAUACUAUAUCAUGCUUUUAUCCACUAAAUAAAAACCUGCCCUAUGUUUUAUUACAAAGUAGGUGGCCUGGAGGAAAAAUAUAUGUAUUCUUUCCUUUUGGAAUAAAAUAUGCAUUUGGGCUUCUCA